GUCUAGAGACUUUACCCCUGGACCUGAGUACUUUCUACUUUCACACCUUCAUGGCUGCUGAUUAGGGAUAUCAGCCAGAGCUGACCACUGGGGUCCCUUUCACCACAUGGAACAUUAACAGAGCAAUAAAUCUCUGCCCCUGUUUCUUCAACACACAGAGAUAAGGCAUCAAUAUUACACAUGAGUCCCUGGUCUUGGUAUUUGUGUCUGUUUAGCAGUAAGACCGGAAUUUACAAAGAAUCAAAGUACUGAGAUGUUGAGAAUAAAAGGAAGAUGAAGAACUUCCGCCAGGCAAGAGGCAAAACUGGAGAAGGCUCAAACAGCAAAACGGAACAUGUCAGUUCAACAACAGAUGAGCCAUGCAACAUGGACCAUGUUGGAGAAGAAAUCAUUUAAACUUCUGUUUUUCUAUGUGAAGACAUCAGAUUUUUUGUUGUGAAUGUUUAGGGCUUAAUCAGUUGAAUAAUUUAUGUAAGACACAUCGAAAAAUCUUGUCUGAUUUCAUGUAACAAUAGUUGAUUUACGGUGUCUGCCAAUAACGUUUUUGGUAUUAUAUGUGUAUUUCUCAUAACGUUUGUAAACAUUAAAUAGUUUUACAUACAUGUAAUGUUUUGAAAUUAAUUGUAACAGUACAUGUUGCUAUUUCUCAAAUAAAACAUGUGUUUUGAAUAUACAUGUAGAUAUGUUAUUUUAUAAUGUCUCAGCGGACUGAUAUCAUGUGUAAAUGGAAUAUAUAUUUAAUGUAAAAUUAAUGUCCAUUUUGAUAGCAAACAGAAUAA
Molecule: long non-coding RNA, 779 nt
Organism: Dreissena polymorpha
Lineage: Eukaryota; Metazoa; Mollusca; Bivalvia; Myida; Dreissenidae
Exons: 3
Source: RefSeq, a predicted model, not a curated record